GAUCAUGGCUCAGGACGAACGCUGGCGGCGUGCUUAACACAUGCAAGUCGAACGAGAAUCUAUGGAAAGAGGAUUCGUCCAAUUGAAAUAGAGGACAGUGGCGGACGGGUGAGUAACGCGUGAGGAACCUGCCUUUCAGAGGGGGACAACAGUUGGAAACGACUGCUAAUACCGCAUAACGCGUAGAGGUCGCAUGGCCUUUACGCCAAAGAUUUAUCGCUAGAAAGAGUCGGCCUCCGCGU
RNAcentral lists this ribosomal RNA (242 nucleotides) under uncultured bacterium. RNAcentral describes it as "partial 16S ribosomal RNA". It matches the Rfam family "Bacterial small subunit ribosomal RNA", at positions 15 to 236 of the family's 1533-position model. The record is from RNAcentral.